Molecule: ribosomal RNA, 253 nt
Filed under: uncultured bacterium
Lineage: Bacteria
Description: partial 16S ribosomal RNA
Rfam family: Bacterial small subunit ribosomal RNA
Source: RNAcentral
UACGGGGGGGACAAGCGUUGUUCGGAAUUACUGGGCGUAAAGGGCUCGUAGGUGGCCAACUAAGUCAGACGUGAAAUCCCUCGGCUUAACCGGGGAACUGCGUCUGAUACUGGAUGGCUUGAGUUCGGGAGAGGGAUGCGGAAUUCCAGGUGUAGCGGUGAAAUGCGUAGAUAUCUGGAGGAACACCGGUGGCGAAGGCGGCAUCCUGGACCGACACUGACACUGAGGAGCGAAAGCCAGGGGAGCAAACGGG